GCCGGGAUGACAGAGUCUGGCCUAUCGUGCUACCCUGGAAAGGUAGUGGGCUUAACUGCCCUCCUGGGUUCAAAUCCCAGUCCCGGCG
Molecule: transfer RNA, 88 nt
Filed under: Candidatus Nanohalococcus occultus
Lineage: Archaea; Nanobdellati; Candidatus Nanohalarchaeota
Description: Candidatus Nanohaloarchaeota archaeon SVXNc tRNA-Ser
Rfam family: tRNA
About the family: Transfer RNA (tRNA) molecules are approximately 80 nucleotides in length.
Source: RNAcentral